Molecule: ribosomal RNA, 479 nt
Filed under: uncultured bacterium
Lineage: Bacteria
Description: partial 16S ribosomal RNA
Rfam family: Bacterial small subunit ribosomal RNA
Source: RNAcentral
GAUGAACGCUGGCGGCGUGCUUAACACAUGCAAGUCGAACGAAGCACUUUAACCUGAUUCUUCGGAUGAAGGUUUUUGUGACUGAGUGGCGGACGGGUGAGUAACGCGUGGGUAACCUGCCUCAUACAGGGGGAUAACAGUUAGAAAUGACUGCUAAUAUCGCAUAAGACCACAGAGCCGCAUGGCUCGGUGGGAAAAACUCCGGUGGUAUGAGAUGGACCCGCGUCUGAUUAGGUAGUUGGUGGGGUAACGGCCUACCAAGCCAACGAUCAGUAGCCGACCUGAGAGGGUGACCGGCCACAUUGGGACUGAGACACGGCCCAAACUCCUACGGGAGGCAGCAGUGGGGAAUAUUGCACAAUGGGGGAAACCCUGAUGCAGCGACGCCGCGUGAGCGAAGAAGUAUUUCGGUAUGUAAAGCUCUAUCAGCAGGGAAGAAAAUGACGGUACCUGACUAAGAAGCACCGGCUAAAUACGUG